CAGCAGCCGCGGGAACACAGAGGGUGCGAGCGUUAAUCGGAUUUACUGGGCGUAAAGCGUGCGUAGGCGGCUUUUUAAGUCGGAUGUGAAAUCCCUGAGCUUAACUUAGGAAUUGCAUUCGAUACUGGGAAGCUAGAGUAUGGGAGAGGAUGGUAGAAUUCCAGGUGUAGCGGUGAAAUGCGUAGAGAUCUGGAGGAAUACCGAUGGCGAAGGCAGCCAUCUGGCCUAAUACUGACGCUGAGGUACGAAAGCAUGGGGAGAAAACAGGAUUAGAUACCCCUGUAGUCCCUGUCUCUUAUAC
This 301-nucleotide ribosomal RNA is filed under the name uncultured bacterium. RNAcentral describes it as "partial 16S ribosomal RNA". It matches the Rfam family "Bacterial small subunit ribosomal RNA", at positions 509 to 807 of the family's 1533-position model. The record is from RNAcentral.